Molecule: ribosomal RNA, 495 nt
Filed under: uncultured bacterium
Lineage: Bacteria
Description: partial 16S ribosomal RNA
Rfam family: Bacterial small subunit ribosomal RNA
Source: RNAcentral
GACGAACGCUGGCGGCGUGCCUAAUACAUGCAAGUAGAACGCUGAGGGAGGAGCUUGCUUCUCUGGAUGAGUUGCGAACGGGUGAGUAACGCGUAGGUAACCUGCCUGGUAGCGUGGGAUAACUUUUGGAAACGAUAGCUAAUACCGCAUAAUAGUAGAUGUUGCAUGACAUUUGCUUAAAAGGUGCAAUUGCAUCACUACCAGACGGACCUGCGCUGUAUUAGCUAGUUGGUGGGGUAACGGAUCACCAAGGCGACGAUACAUAGCCGACCUGAGAGGGGGAUCGGCCACACUGGGACUGAGACCCGGCCCAGACGCCUAGGGGAGGCAGCCGUAGGGAAUCUGCGGCAAUGGGCGGAAGUCUGACCGAGAAACGCCGAGGGAGUGAAGAAGGUUGUCGGAUCGGAAAGCACUGUUUUAAGGGAAGAACGAGUGUGAGAGUGGAAAGUUCACACUGUGACGGUAUCUUACCAGAAAGGGACGGCUAACUACGUG